RNAcentral lists this ribosomal RNA (299 nucleotides) under Thermoproteota archaeon. RNAcentral describes it as "partial 23S ribosomal RNA". It matches the Rfam family "Archaeal large subunit ribosomal RNA", at positions 2696 to 2987 of the family's 2987-position model. Lineage: Archaea; Thermoproteati; Thermoproteota. The record is from RNAcentral.
CAGGUCGGUCUCUGCCUGACAGGGGCGUGGUUGUCUGAGGGGAAGUUGCCCCUAGUACGAGAGGAACAGGGCAGCGCAGCCUCUGGUUUAUCAGUUGUCCGACAGGGCAAGCUGAGCAGCUAAGCUGCUUAGGAUAAGUCCUGAAAGCAUCUAAGGACGAAGCCUUUCCCGAGAAAAGACAGCCGUCCGCAAGGAAAAGGGCGGCCAUAGAAGAUGGCGUUGAUGGGAUGGAGGUGUAAGCACCAAGCUUCGGCGAGGUGUUCAGCCUGCCAUUCCCAAUAGCCCGAUGCACUAAAUCA